Long non-coding RNA from Carassius auratus (goldfish), 619 nucleotides. RefSeq lists it as uncharacterized. The transcript is spliced from 4 exons. NCBI's taxonomy places the organism in Eukaryota, Metazoa, Chordata, Actinopteri, Cypriniformes, Cyprinidae. The record is from RefSeq and is a predicted model, not a curated record.
UCCUGGACUCUUCAGUGAUGACGAUCAGAGUCUGAGUGAACCUGCUGUCAGACAGGUUGGCCUGACUGACGAUGCCAUCGUUCAUCGGCGAUGGCUGAUAGACAUCACGAUCACUGCGCCGGCAAACAGCGUCAUCAGCUCCAGUAUCUCGCGCGUGCAUCUGUUGUCAUGCGACAGAGAAGUCACGUUCUAUAGACAGUUGUGAACGUGCUGACAGCUGGUUGCCCAGGCUAUGGAUUAAAGGUAAUACUGUUGGCCAGCAGAGCCCUGCUCACCCUGACGGCCCACCGCUGCUGUCAGACAACAUCUCCAAGAUGCUAGAAACUGCAGGACCAGAUCGCCAUCCCAAGGUUUCUAGAGAUUACACCAGCUCCAGACUGAAUCCAGACUCACUUGUGAAGACUUCAGAUGACACCAACUUUCACAAAGACUACAACUGUACAUGAACACAUAAUACAUUUGACACACAAAACAAAUAUUAUCCUUAUUUUGCCUAUAAGGGUAAAUUUGAUGAUUUUCAACCUGCUUUAUUGUAACGUCUCUUAUAUCUGUAAAUGAACAAUAUUUACUCUCUGAGUUAUGUGGACCUACAUGUCCCCUUUUAUUUGUAAGCAUCACU